This 1438-nucleotide ribosomal RNA is filed under the name uncultured Bordetella sp. Its description in RNAcentral is "partial 16S-23S ribosomal RNA intergenic spacer". It matches the Rfam family "Bacterial small subunit ribosomal RNA". Lineage: Bacteria; Pseudomonadati; Pseudomonadota; Betaproteobacteria; Burkholderiales; Alcaligenaceae. The record is from RNAcentral.
AGUUCGAUCCAGCUCAGAUUGAACGCUUAUGGAUGCUUUACACAUGCAAGUCGAACGGCAGCACGGACUUCGGUCUGGUGGCGAGCGCAUAAACGGGUAGUGACGUAUCGGAACGUGCCUAUAGCGGGGGAUAACUACGCGAAAGCGAAGCACACGUACACGCCCUUCGGGGGAAAGCGGGGACCUUCGGGCCUCGCACCAUUAGAGCGGCCGAUAUCGGAUUAGCUAGUUGCGGCAACGGUCACCGCUGCCAUGACGAUCCGCUGGUUUGAGAGACGACCAGCCACACUGGGAUCAGAGACACGGCCCAGACUCCGCCGGAGUGCAGCAGUAAAAUUUUGGACAAUGGGGAAACCCUGAUCCAGCCAUCCUGCGCGGUGAUGAAGGCCUUCGGGUUAGAAAGCACUUUUGCGGAAGAAACGGCACGGGAUACCCCGUGCAACUGACGGUACCUGCAGAAUAAGCGUCCAAUAACUACGUGCCAGCAGCCGGCAUACGUAGGUGCAGGCGUUAAUCGGAAUUACUGGGCGAAGGUGCGCAGGCGGUUCGAAAGAAAGAUGUGAAAUCCCAGAGCUAACUUUGGAACUGGCAUUUUAAUCAAUGAGCUUGAGUGUGUCAGAUGUGAGGUGCACUCGCGUAGCAGCGAAAUGGCGUAGAUAUGUUGAUAACACCGAUGGCGAAGGCAGCCUCCUGGGAUAACACUGACGCUCAUGCACGCAAGCAGGGGAGCAAACAGGAUUAGAUACCCUGGUAGUCCACGCCCUAAACGAUGUCAACUAGCUGUUGGGGUCUGGCCUUGUAGUGCAGCUGUUGGUGAAGUUGGACCGCCUGUGAGUAUAUGGUCGCAAGAUUAAACCUCAAAAAGGAAUUGAUUUGGGACCCGCACAGCGGAUGAUGUGGAUUAAUUCGAUGCAACGCGAAAAACUGUCCUUACCCUUGACAUGUCUGGAAUCCCGAAGAGAUUUGGGAGGCCGCAGAGAACCGGAACACAGGUGCUGCAUGGCUGUCGCCGUCACUCGUCGAGAUGCUGUUGUCCUGCAACGAGCGCAACCCUUGUCAUUAGUUGCUACGAAGGGCACUCUUAAUGAGACUGCCGGGUGACAAACCGGAGGAAGGUGGGGAUGACGUCAAGUCCUCAUGGCCUCAGGGCAGGGCUUCACACGUCAUACAAUGGUCGGGACAGAGGGUCGCCAACCCGAGGGGGAGCCAAUCCCCAGAAACCCGAUCGUAGUCCGAUCGCAAUUCCGCAACCUGACUGCGUGAAGCUCAAAUCGCGAAUCGCGGAUCAGCAUGUCGCGGUGAACAUGCUCCCGGUCUUGUAUACACACCGCCCGUCACACCAUGGGAGUGGGUUUUACCAUAGCUAGCCCAACCGCGAGGCGAUUGCAUACCACGGUAGGAUUCAGCGACUGGGGUGAAGUCGUAACAAGGUAGCUCA